GUGAGAAGGUGGGCCAUAGCAGAAACUUCUGAGUUUACCAUUGAUUUAAGAGGCUCUACGGCAGUCAGAUCAUCCAAGCUUUUGCGCUUCUCAUAUCAAAAUCUGCAGGCAGGGUGGUUGUGAUUCUUGAUUGCUGUAAAAUUGGGUUGUAUAAAAGCUUUAAAACCUGAAAAUUGAUGGGCGAUUCCAAGCUGCUGAAAAAAGGUUUCCAGAAUGGUUGCACUCUCACAUUUACUAAUUCAACCAACCACCUAGCCAGAAGGAAUUGCCAUCUUCAUCCUCUGAGCUCGAGCUCUGCCCUGAACAGUCAACAAAGCGUGCAUGCACCGGAGGGUUGCGGCAGCUCGUUUCCUGACCAGGUGACCCCUCACCAGAGCCUGCAACUUCACUAGCCCUUUCAAUGCACACAGUGCC
This is a long non-coding RNA of Diospyros lotus (date-plum), 414 nucleotides long. RefSeq lists it as uncharacterized. The record is from RefSeq and is a predicted model, not a curated record. NCBI's taxonomy places the organism in Eukaryota, Viridiplantae, Streptophyta, Magnoliopsida, Ericales, Ebenaceae. The transcript has 3 exons.